GAUGAACGCUGGCGGCGUGCUUAACACAUGCAAGUCGAACGGAAAGGCUCCUGCUUGCAGGGGUACUCGAGUGGCGAACGGGUGAGUAACACGUGGGUGAUCUGCCCUGCACUUCGGGAUAGGCCUGGGAAACUGGGUCUAAUACCGGAUAGGACCACAUUUUGGAUGGUGUGGUGGAAAGUUUUUCGGUGUGGGAUGAGCUCGCGGCCUAUCAGCUUGUUGGUGGGGUAAUGGCCUACCAAGGCGUCGACGGGUAGCCGGCCUGAGAGGGUGUACGGCCACAUUGGGACGGAGAUACGGCCCAGACUCCUACGGGAGGCAGCAGUGGGGAAUAUUGCACAAUGGGCGCAAGCCUGAUGCAGCGACGCCGCGUGGGGGAUGACGGCCUUCGGGUUGUAAACUCCUUUCGCUAGGGACGAAGCGUUUUUGUGACGGUACCUGGAGAAGAAGCACCGGCUAACUACGUG
RNAcentral lists this ribosomal RNA (467 nucleotides) under uncultured bacterium. RNAcentral describes it as "partial 16S ribosomal RNA". It matches the Rfam family "Bacterial small subunit ribosomal RNA", at positions 28 to 507 of the family's 1533-position model. The record is from RNAcentral.